This is a long non-coding RNA of Carassius auratus (goldfish), 505 nucleotides long. RefSeq lists it as uncharacterized. The record is from RefSeq and is a predicted model, not a curated record. The transcript has 2 exons. NCBI's taxonomy places the organism in Eukaryota, Metazoa, Chordata, Actinopteri, Cypriniformes, Cyprinidae.
AAAAAAAGAAAGGUUAAGGAGAAACACAGAGCGAAAAGACAUAAGAAAUCAAAGAAAUUGACUUCUGACUAUUCCAAAAGAGUGCAUACCCCAGAAGAAUCGCUGAAGAGGUACUACAAGGUAUUAAACCUUGUAAAACAGGGCCUGAGUAAGGCAGAGGCCUACAACAGACUAAACGUUGACAGGAACACAAUAGUCACCCAGGCUCCAAUUGCAGAGUUAGCAGCAGCUAAUCCAGAAUCAUUCCGCAAGCUAAGGCAGAUGUUUAAAAAGGGAGAUAGCAUCCUGAAAUUUGCCGAAAGCUGUCUUUGUCUUUGUAAAGAAAAGGCCAAUGAGGAUGUGAUUAAACAAAUGAAAGAGGCAAAUGACCUGCUUGACAUAAAUAAAAAAUGAACGAUAAGCACACAUUAUAGUUGUUAGGGGGUUGUUCUUGUGUUAGGAAUUUGUUUAAAUCAUUUAAUCCUGACAAUGUUAUAAUGUUCAUAUAUAAAUUUUUAUUAUAAAA